UGCCAGCCGCCGCGGUAAUACGGAGGGUGCGAGCGUUGUUCGGAAUCAUUGGGCGUAAAGCGCGUGUAGGCGGUUUGUUAAGUCUGAUGUGAAAGCCCGGGGCUCAACCCCGGAAGUGCAUUGGAUACUGGCAAGCUUGAGUGCGAGAGAGGAUGGUGGAAUUCCUGGUGUAGGGGUGAAAUCCGUAGAUAUCAGGAGGAACAUCGGAGGCGAAGGCGGCCAUCUGGCUCGCUACUGACGCUGAGACGCGAAAGCGUGGGGAGCAAACAGGAUUAGAUA
RNAcentral lists this ribosomal RNA (279 nucleotides) under uncultured bacterium. Its description in RNAcentral is "partial 16S ribosomal RNA". It matches the Rfam family "Bacterial small subunit ribosomal RNA", at positions 506 to 784 of the family's 1533-position model. The record is from RNAcentral.